CAACCUCAGUUUGAGAGUGCACCUGUUUUGGCUACAGUGGACCAAGAAGGAGAAAUCCUGCGUCCCAAAGUCCCCUGGAUUUCACUACUCUUUCAAAAACCUAUUUUAAUAAAAAUGGGCUCUACUGAAAGGACCAGCAAGAAUGCACAUGACAAUAGAGAGUAAAUGCCGCCUAAAAUGACAAGGACUGGGAGAGAAAGGCCAUGCCGCUGCGUGUAUUUUCUGCGAAUUGGACCUAGUGAAAGAGAGAAAGGUAUUUCCCUUCUAGCUACAUGCUGGCAAACUUGCCAAGGUAUGCUCUGGAGCUGA
Molecule: long non-coding RNA, 309 nt
Filed under: Dromaius novaehollandiae (emu)
Lineage: Eukaryota; Metazoa; Chordata; Aves; Casuariiformes; Dromaiidae
Description: lncRNA (ENSDNVG00000002664.1)
Source: RNAcentral